RNAcentral lists this ribosomal RNA (464 nucleotides) under Vreelandella stevensii. RNAcentral describes it as "partial 16S ribosomal RNA". It matches the Rfam family "Bacterial small subunit ribosomal RNA", at positions 338 to 795 of the family's 1533-position model. The record is from RNAcentral. Lineage: Bacteria; Pseudomonadati; Pseudomonadota; Gammaproteobacteria; Oceanospirillales; Halomonadaceae.
CCUACGGGGGCAGCAGUGGGGAAUAUUGGACAAUGGGCGAAAGCCUGAUCCAGCCAUGCCGCGUGUGUGAAGAAGGCCUUCGGGUUGUAAAGCACUUUCAGUGGGGAAGAAAGCCUUGGGGCUAAUACCCUCGAGGAAGGACAUCACCCACAGAAGAAGCACCGGCUAACUCCGUGCCAGCAGCCGCGGUAAUACGGAGGGUGCGAGCGUUAAUCGGAAUUACUGGGCGUAAAGCGCGCGUAGGCGGUCUGAUAAGCCGGUUGUGAAAGCCCCGGGCUCAACCUGGGAACGGCAUCCGGAACUGUCGGGCUAGAGUGCAGGAGAGGAAGGUAGAAUUCCCGGUGUAGCGGUGAAAUGCGUAGAGAUCGGGAGGAAUACCAGUGGCGAAGGCGGCCUUCUGGACUGACACUGACGCUGAGGUGCGAAAGCGUGGGUAGCAAACAGGAUUAGAUACCCGUGUAGUC